CAAUAAGCGGAGGAAAAGAAACCAACAGGGAUUGCCCCAGUAACGGCGAGUGAAGCGGCAACAGCUCAAAUUUGAAAUCUGGCCCUCCCCGGGGGGCCCGAGUUGUAAUUUGCAGAUUGUGCUUUUGGCGAGGGGCCUUCCGAGUUCCCUGGAACGGGACGCCACAGAGGGUGAGAGCCCCGUCUGGUCGGCCGCCGAGCCUCUGUAAAGCACCUUCGACGAGUCGAGUAGUUUGGGAAUGCUGCUCAAAAUGGGAGGUAUAUGUCUUCUAAAGCUAAAUAUUGGCCAGAGACCGAUAGCGCACAAGUAGAGUGAUCGAAAGAUGAAAAGCACCUUGAAAAGGGGGUUAAACAGUACGUGAAAUUGUUGAAAGGGAAGCGCUCGCGACCAGACUUGGGCCUGGCGGAUCACCCAGCGUUCUCGCUGGGGCACUCCGCCUCGUCCCAGGCCAGCAUCGGUUCGUGCCGGGGGACAAAGGCGGCGGGAACGUGGCUCCCCCGGGAGUGUUAUAGCCCGCCGUGCAAUGCCCUGGGGCGGACCGAGGACUCGCGCAUCUGCAUGGAUGCUGGCGUAAUGGUCACUAGCGACCCGUCUUGAAACACGGACCAAGGAGUCGUCUUCGUAUGCGAGUGUUCGGGUGUCAAACCCCUACGCGUAAUGAAAGUGAACGCAGGUGAGAGCUUCGGCGCAUCAUCGACCGAUCCUGAUGUUCUCGGAUGGAUUUGAGUAGGAGCAUACGGGGCCGGACCCGAAAGAAGGUGAACUAUGCCUGUGUAGGGUGAAGCCAGAGGAAACUCUGGUGGAGGCUCGCAGCGGUUCUGACGUGCAAAUCGAUCGUCAAACAUGGGCAUGGGGGCGAAAGACUAAUCGAACCUUCUAGUAGCUGGUUUCCGC
Molecule: ribosomal RNA, 894 nt
Filed under: Moelleriella hainanensis
Lineage: Eukaryota; Fungi; Ascomycota; Sordariomycetes; Hypocreales; Clavicipitaceae
Description: eukaryotic LSU rRNA
Rfam family: Eukaryotic large subunit ribosomal RNA
Source: RNAcentral